GAUGAAGAACGCAGCGAAGUGCGAUAAGUAAUGUGAAUUGCAGAAUUCCGUGAAUCAUCGAAUCUUUGAACGCAAAUUGCACUUUCUGGUAUUCCGGAGAGUAUGCCUGUUUGAGGGUCAGUGUAAUAAAUAAAUCGUGGUUGUUACCACUUUUCGUGGUGACGCUUCGGAAUUGAGUCGUCUUACCUUCGGUUAAGUGACUUAAAAUUUUUUCAUACGAUUUCGAAACGUAUUUAAUGUAUUAUAUACGUUCACGAAUAUCGAAUGUUUUAUUAGGUGCGGUCAUUUUCAUUAAUUCGCGUCUAUAAUUUUUUUUUUUUUGACCUCAAAUCAGGUAAGAAUACCCGCUGAACUUAAGCAUAUCAAUAAGCGGAGGA
RNAcentral lists this unclassified non-coding RNA (377 nucleotides) under soil metagenome. RNAcentral describes it as "partial contains 5.8S ribosomal RNA, internal transcribed spacer 2, and large subunit ribosomal RNA". The stretch from base 1 to 120 matches the Rfam family "5.8S ribosomal RNA", at positions 35 to 154 of the family's 154-position model. The record is from RNAcentral.